UACGUAGGGGUCGAGCGUUGUCCGGAAUUAUUGGGCGUAAAGAGCGUGUAGGCGGUCCGGUAAGUCGGCUGUGAAAGUCCAGGGCUCAACCCUGGGAUGCCGGUCGAUACUGCCGGACUAGAGUUCGGAAGAGGCGAGUGGAAUUCCCGGUGUAGCGGUGAAAUGCGCAGAUAUCGGGAGGAACACCUAUGGCGAAGGCAGCUCGCUGGGACGUUACUGACGCUGAGACGCGAAAGCGUGGGGAGCGAACAGG
RNAcentral lists this ribosomal RNA (253 nucleotides) under uncultured bacterium. RNAcentral's name for it is "partial 16S ribosomal RNA". It matches the Rfam family "Bacterial small subunit ribosomal RNA", at positions 524 to 776 of the family's 1533-position model. The record is from RNAcentral.